UCGAGAAUCUUCGGCAAUGGGCGCAAGCCUGACCGAGCGACGCCGCGUGGAGGACGAAGGCCUUCGGGUUGUAAACUCCUGUCGAGGGGGAAGAAGGGCCGUAAGGCCUUGACUGAUCCCUGGAGGAAGCACGGGCUAAGUUCGUGCCAGCAGCCGCGGUAAGACGAACCGUGCGAACGUUAUUCGGAAUCACUGGGCUUAAAGCGCGUGUAGGCGGGGCGGAACGUCGGAUGGGGAAAGCCCCCGGCUCAACCGGGGAAGUGGCACCGAGACGACCGCCCUCGAGGGACGUAGGGGGACCUGGAACUUCCGGUGGAGCGGUGAAAUGCGUUGAGAUCGGAAGGAACGCCCGUGGCGAAAGCGAGGUCCUGGACGUUUUCUGACGCUGAGACGCGAAAGCCAGGGGAGCGAACG
RNAcentral lists this ribosomal RNA (414 nucleotides) under uncultured bacterium. RNAcentral describes it as "bacterial SSU rRNA". It matches the Rfam family "Bacterial small subunit ribosomal RNA", at positions 355 to 774 of the family's 1533-position model. The record is from RNAcentral.